GUCUAUAGCAGGAUGUGUGUAAGUUCUACACAAAUAUUGCACCAUUUCAUUUUAUAUAUAAGGUGCAGUGUUGGCCAAUACUGGCGUCCUCUAGGGUUCUGAAGUCAAUCUCUCACAGACACUGAAGGGUGACUAUCUAUGUCCUGUUAUGGACUGAAUUGUAUUGCCAACCCUUUCACAGUUGUGAGGUCAAAAUGUAAUUCCUGAUGGGCCAACAGAAGCAUUGCAAAAGACCAAGUUUUCCAUGUUAGUAUUAUUUAUAGCCAUGAUUUACCUGUUGAGCUUAAGAAUCUAAAGAAGGCCAUUUAGGUAAUGAGUGAAAUAUCCUGUUCUAUUUGUUUUUCUCCUGUCAAAGUCCACACCAGCUAAAGAAGCACUUUAACUGAGUUGGACAAAACAUUGUGUAGGAAAUGCAACGUGAGAUUGUGUUUAGGCUUCACAAAUCCAGUCUACCCAUGAAUGGCCAUGACACAGGCCUUGAAGGUAGAGGGCUUGCCUGGAGCCAUGACUUGGGUGGCCUGAGCCAGGCCCCGAGAGCUGACCCGCGGCUCAACCUUUGUCACUUGAUCCUCUUUGUAAAUCCCUUAUCUCUCUUUGUCCCUUACUCCUUUGUGUUUUCCUUGAGCUCAUUCUCUAAAAAUAAAACUCAAGGCUACUGAGUUUGUAAGGUUUUCCUUUGAGAGUAACUCUUCUGGUUUCAUUCUGCACAACAAGUGUAUCAUUCAUUGUCAAACCUUUGGACAAAAUUGUGUAAGUUUCUUUGGCAUGGUCCUUGGAAAUUUGUAUCUGGAAA
RNAcentral lists this long non-coding RNA (793 nucleotides) under Chinchilla lanigera (long-tailed chinchilla). RNAcentral describes it as "lncRNA (ENSCLAG00000027080.1)". The record is from RNAcentral. Lineage: Eukaryota; Metazoa; Chordata; Mammalia; Rodentia; Chinchillidae.